Penaeus chinensis is the source of this 1850-nucleotide RNA transcript. RefSeq lists it as uncharacterized. The record is from RefSeq and is a predicted model, not a curated record. The transcript has 3 exons. Lineage: Eukaryota; Metazoa; Arthropoda; Malacostraca; Decapoda; Penaeidae.
CUGCUCCCCAUCCUUCUCUCUAUAUGGCUUAUGCUGAGUUGCAACAGUGCUUGCCGCCUGGCAUCUUUGUUUUUGGCAGCUGUAGUCACACAAUGGUUCUUUUAAGGAGACAUCUAUACAACAGAUAUUUUGAUGCCUAGUACAUGCCAUUUAAACUACUGUCAUCGGAUCUUGACCCAUUUAGGCACUACACUGAUGAAGAAUUUUAACAAAUAAUCCGCAACCCUUUUGCCAAUGAGUUGCCUGUGCAGUAUUUCGUGCCUUAUCGUUGUGUGGGUUAUUGCAUGCCAUAGUGCUCUGUUGUGCAAGAACCCUUUACUGACACUCAAGGAGGUAAUUAACGGGCAAAGGGGGGAGGGUGGAAGGUUGACACGCCUCCUAAUUCUGAUUUUAACUGGAAUAAUCUGAAUAAUGUUAUCCACAUGCAUCGACAGCAAAGAAGUCCUAACUUUGUCAGAGGCAAAACUAAAACCUGAGGAUGGUUUAGACCCCUGCAUUUUUUUUUAUCGCAAUAUAAGUACUUACGUAGCGAAGUUUGACAAACAUCACGUGUCGCCAUCAGACCUUGAUUACGACACAAUGAAAUGUAAAGCUUUGGAAACAGUAAAUUGAAGUAAAGAAACGUUCGCACCCGCCAGGCAGUGUGGUGACGGACGGCAUUUUUACAGAAUAUACCCUCGGUCACCCACUUCGCGUCAAGUAUCAUGGAGCCGAUAUAUCAGCGAUUUGUAAGAUCGUUUUCUGCUACAGCAUAAUUGUUGCAAUUUGUUCAGCCUCUUUGAUAAGCCCUGCAAAACCAAAAUGCUAGAUGCACUAUUUUAUUCGAUUUUGUUUUUCGAUAUGGAUGUCGCCUCUGUCAAUCUAUUUGCUUUAUGGUGACGUUAUAUACAGUAGAAUGUGGCGCAGACGCUUAAAGGAUACGCAAAUCGUAGCGUGAGAAGGACACAUGAUAUCUCCCCCUCUACCCAGUAAGCAGCGGGUAUGAAUGGGCAUUUAAAACUUUACCCUCUUUAGGAGUAUAUAUAUAUGUGUGUGUGUGUGUGUGUGUGUGUGUGUGUGUGUGUGUGUGUGUGUGUGUGUGUUUAUUCACCAUUCCUGCAUCACGCACCCUGUUCUCAUCAUUGAAAAGCAGUGUUGCCUAUUUUCCGCGCAACACAUAAGGGCUGUUGCACAACUCCGGCAUUAGUCGUGUUGUGGCAGAUCUAGCGUGAGGUGCCAUUACUCUUUUCCGUGAAGGGAGUAAAAGAGAAAAUGUUAAGAUAAUAAUAAUAAGAAGAAUGAACAGAGAAAUGUGACAAGUGCGAUUACCUUCAAGUUCUUAUAAGUGAUAAAUGAUAUUGAGAGGAACGUAGCUGCUACUCGGAGUUUUCUUGGAAUUAACACAUCUAGGAAUUUAUAAACAUGAGUCAUCAGCAACCCAGCGGCUUGUUCGGGCCCCUAAACACCCACUAUAGAUCCCUCAAGCGCGUUUAUAUGAACCUCAAGAGAGGCGUGGAGAUUUCGCUUCGCUUCGUCAAUGCUCUGGUAAGAGUAUUCACGCCGAUCAUCUUUUGCUUCUUCUUCGUCUUUAGAAUCGUGGAUAAAAUCGGCAAGUACCUCUCGUGGAUGGCUUACCUUCCGCUCAGGAGUAAGACGGGGAAGGAGGCUGCAGAGGCUGGCGAAGAGCUGCGUCAGAAGAGAAAUGUUUGUGGAGGACCAGACGAUAUGACAAGAGACAGAAAAAAUGGAACCUUCGAAACGUAGUUGAGAAUAAAUUUCUUCGAAUAAACAUGAUUAUAUAACUGACAUAAGUACUUUAUGCAAUGGUUAAAUGGUCUUUGAUAUUGGUUAGAAUCAAUAUAGAAUGCUUG